UUUUAACAGAGAUUUUACGCCAAAUAUGUUUAAACAAUUAUCCAGACAGUUUCUAAAUAGUUACUGAGCCAGUUUCUAAAUAAUUAUCCAGACUGUUUUUAAAUAAUUACUCAGCCAGUUUCUAAACAAUUAUCCAGCCAAUUUCUAAAUAGUUACUCAGCCAGUUUCUAAACAAUUAUUCAGCCAGUUUCUAAAUAAUUAUCCAGACUGUUUCUAAAUAGUUACUCAGCCAUUUUCUAAACAAUUAUUCAAUCAAUUUCUAAGUAGUUAUUCAGCCAGUUUCUAAACAAUUAUCCAGCCAAUUUCUAAAUAGUUACUCAGCCAGUUUCUAAACAAUUAUUCAAUCAAUUUCUAAAUAGUUAUUCAGCCAGUUUCUAAACAAUUAUUCAGCCAGUUUCUAAACAAUUAUUCAGUCAAUUUCUAAAUAAUUAUCCAGACAGUUUCUAAACAAUUAUUCAGCCAAUUUCUAAAUAAUUAUCCAGACAGUUUCUAAACAAUUAUUCAGCCAGGUUCUAAACAAUUAUUCAGCCAAUUUCUAAAUAGUUACUCAGCCAGUUUCUAAACAAUUAUUCAGUCAUUUCUAAACAAUUAUUCAGUCAGUUUCUAAAUAGUUAUUCAGCCAGUUUCUAAAGAAUUAUCCAGCCAGUUUCUAAACAAUCACGCAAGGUUAUAAUCCAGAAAAGUUUUCUAAGAAAUAUUUUCACAGAUUUUUCGAGAACUUAUCAAAAUAUAAGGCACACUGUUUUCAGAAUAAGUCGUCAUUUUGCUUCAAGGGCUGAAAAGAGAAAUAUGUAAAAUAUCACACUAGAGAGCGCGC
Molecule: long non-coding RNA, 817 nt
Organism: Limulus polyphemus (Atlantic horseshoe crab)
Lineage: Eukaryota; Metazoa; Arthropoda; Merostomata; Xiphosura; Limulidae
Exons: 2
Source: RefSeq, a predicted model, not a curated record